UUUUAAAUUUAGAGUUUGAUCCUGGCUCAGGACGAACGCUGGCGGCGUGCUUAACACAUGCAAGUCGAGCGAUGAAGCUUCCUUCGGGAAGUGGAUUAGCGGCGGACGGGUGAGUAACACGUGGGUAACCUACCUCAAAGUGGGGGAUAGCCUCCCGAAAGGGAGAUUAAUACCGCAUAAUAUAAGAAAAUCGCAUGAUUAUCUUAUCAAAGAUUUAUCGCUUUGAGAUGGACC
This 234-nucleotide ribosomal RNA is filed under the name Clostridium tepidum. RNAcentral's name for it is "partial 16S ribosomal RNA". It matches the Rfam family "Bacterial small subunit ribosomal RNA", at positions 1 to 231 of the family's 1533-position model. The record is from RNAcentral. Lineage: Bacteria; Bacillati; Bacillota; Clostridia; Eubacteriales; Clostridiaceae.